Molecule: ribosomal RNA, 519 nt
Filed under: uncultured eukaryote
Lineage: Eukaryota
Description: SSU rRNA
Rfam family: Eukaryotic small subunit ribosomal RNA
Source: RNAcentral
AGGGCACUACCAGGAGUGGAUCCUGCGGCUCAAUUUGACUCAACACGGGAAAGCUCACCUGGUCCGGACACUGGAAGGAUUGACAGAUUAAGAGCUCUUUCUUGAUUCAGUGGGUGGUGGUGCAUGGCCGUCCUUAGUUGGUGGAGCGAUUUGUCUGGUUAAUUCCGAUAACGAACGAGACUCUAGCCUACUAAAUAGGUGUUCCGAUCCCAUCAGUCGGACGCUCUUCUUAGAGGGACAAGCGGCGUUUAGCCGCACGAGACAGAGCAAUAACAGGUCUGUGAUGCCCUUAGAUGUCCGGGGCCGCACGCGCGCUACACUGAAGGAACCAGCGUGUGUCCCUGUCCGGCAGGACUGGGUAAUCCGUUGAACCUCCUUCGUGAUAGGGAUAGGGGCUUGUAAUUGUUCCCCUUGAACGAGGAAUUCCCAGUAAGCGUGAAUCAUCAUGUCACGUUGAUUACGUCCCUGGCCUUUGUACACACCGCCCGUCGCUACUACUGAUUGGAUGAUUUAGUGAGG